UAGUCCACGCCGUAAACGAUGAUUACUCGGUAUUGGCGAUAAACAGUCAGUGCCCAAGCGAAAGCGUUAAGUAAUCCACCUGGGGAGUACGUUCGCAAGAAUGAAACUCAAAGGAAUUGACGGGGGUCCGCACAAGCGGGGGAGCAUGUGGUUUAAUUCGAUGAUACGCGAGGAACCUUACCUAGGCUAGAAUGCUUUUGGACCGAUGCCGAAAGGUGUUUUUCUCUUCGGAGACCGAUUGCAAGGUGCUGCAUGGUUGUCGUCAGCUCGUGCCGUGAGGUGUUGGGUUAAGUCCCGCAACGAGCGCAACCCCUAUCCUUAGUUGCCAGCGGGUAAUGCCGGGGACUCUAGGGAAACUGCCUACGCAAGUAGUGAGGAAGGCGGGGACGACGUCAAAUCAUCAUGGCCCUUACGCCUAGGGCUACACACAUGCUACAAUGGUCAGUACAAUGGGUAGCGACAUAGUGAUAUGAAGCCAAUCUCAAAAAGCUGAUCUCAGUUCGGAUUGG
This 509-nucleotide ribosomal RNA is filed under the name uncultured bacterium. RNAcentral describes it as "bacterial SSU rRNA". It matches the Rfam family "Bacterial small subunit ribosomal RNA", at positions 791 to 1301 of the family's 1533-position model. The record is from RNAcentral.